RNAcentral lists this long non-coding RNA (381 nucleotides) under Capra hircus (goat). RNAcentral describes it as "lncRNA (ENSCHIG00000002549.1)". The record is from RNAcentral. Lineage: Eukaryota; Metazoa; Chordata; Mammalia; Artiodactyla; Bovidae.
GUCACUGGGGACCUGUGCAGAGCUGAGUGUCUGCCCCCCACCAUGUGACAACAGAGAAGUAUGAGUCAGUCCUCUGUUUAUGCUUAGUGACAGUGGAGUCCAGAGGGGAGGUGAUCUUAAAACCUCAUUCAGAGCCAACAUGGAAGUGAAAAUCAUUAAGGACAAUGGAGAUCCUCUUGAUAAAGAUUACGGCCGAGCAGCAGGAUAGAAGCAAAGCACCCAGCUCCACACUCGUGGUUCCUGAUACAUAGAGGAAACCAGCAACUUUCCAUCUCAUUGAGGGGAGAAACUGGCAAGUUUAUUAUAUUCUCCUGGGUCUAAUCAGGAAACCAAAAUAGGAAAACUUAUAUAUUCUCAUCAAGGAAGCUGUUGGGCGGUGUG